Molecule: ribosomal RNA, 404 nt
Filed under: uncultured bacterium
Lineage: Bacteria
Description: bacterial SSU rRNA
Rfam family: Bacterial small subunit ribosomal RNA
Source: RNAcentral
GGGAAUAUUGCACAAUGGGCGAAAGCCUGAUGCAGCAACGCCGCGUGAAGGAAGAAGGCCUUCGGGUCGUAAACUUCUGUCCUUGGGGAAGAAGAACUGACGGUACCCAAGGAGGAAGCCCCGGCUAACUACGUGCCAGCAGCCGCGGUAAUACGUAGGGGGCAAGCGUUAUCCGGAUUUAUUGGGUGUAAAGGGCGUGUAGGCGGGAAUGCAAGUCAGAUGUGAAAACUAUGGGCUCAACCCAUAGCCUGCAUUUGAAACUGUAUUUCUUGAGUGCUGGAGAGGCAAUCGGAAUUCCGUGUGUAGCGGUGAAAUGCGUAGAUAUACGGAGGAACACCAGUGGCGAAGGCGGAUUGCUGGACAGUAACUGACGCUGAGGCGCGAAAGCGUGGGGAGCAAACAGG